Canis lupus familiaris (dog) is the source of this 2320-nucleotide long non-coding RNA. RefSeq lists it as uncharacterized. NCBI's taxonomy places the organism in Eukaryota, Metazoa, Chordata, Mammalia, Carnivora, Canidae. The record is from RefSeq and is a predicted model, not a curated record. The transcript is spliced from 9 exons.
CUCGGAUGAUGAUCAAAGGAUUGUUCCUUACAAAUGUUCAGAUACCACAGAGCUGGGAGAGUUAAUGAACGCCUUGAAUGAUUGCAUCAGAUACAAAGAAUUGGUACAAUAGAUCAAGAUGAAAUUUGAUGGAAUGAAGGAACAGGGCCCUUGAGGAGUGGGCCAAAAGCUAUACUUCCUCCCAGCUGGAGAGCUGCACUUAUUUCCUUCUACCGACAACAGAGGAAGCUGGAGAUUCAUGGAGACUUUUCUUACAAACUCUGAAUGAAAAUGAUUUUCAACUUCGAUUCUAUUCCCCAGAGAAUAUCAGUUAAAUAUGAAAUAGACUGAAGGGUCUCUAGGAAUUGACCAUCACAACAUCAUUUCUCAGGAACUUACUGAAGGAGAUGCUCCACCACAACGAGAGAGUAAAUAACAAAAAAAGGAAGACAUGGCACUUGGGAAACAGGAAAUCCCAUGGGAGACGGAGGUGAAGGGAAUCCUCAAGGACAAAAACAUAAACCUUUAACAAGUGGAUCUGAAACUAGAGAGCUGGGCAGGAAACACUAUCCCCAUGCUGCCCUGGGCUUGCUCGAGGACUCUAGCCAGAUGGCAUGCUCAGCACUCAGGCCACUCUGGUCUCUGAACUGCAGAUGAAAAUCCUAUUUCCUUUCCAGAGCUGGACAAUCCCUUGAAGCUAGACUGCAGAGAAAGCUACUGAAGGUGUAACAGAGAGCUGACAAUUCGAGGACUGUCCCCACCAGAUCUUGAUGUGGAGUCCAGACUCAGAGGCGGUAUUUGGAAGAUAAUACUCAGUGGGUGCUGCUGUUACAUCCCCCCUUCCUAUCUCGAGGAAAGGUCAAUCCACAGAGGUCACUGAUCAGCUGAGAAUACAGCCAAAAUGUGUGUAAAAGUCCGGAGAGGGUGUUCAUAUCAGUAGAUAGGCUCUCCUCCAUACGGACACUAAGGUGUCAGGACUUCGUCAUCUUCAACCCAUGGCUCCAAGGGCUUGAAGCAGACGUCAUAUCGACUACCAGAACUCACAGGAUCCAGCAUAUUGGAAUCAAAUUUUUUUGAAAGAAAAGACAUCUGUUUAUGGUUUGUAGUUUUUGUGCUUUGUGUAAGGACUUCUUCUCUACCCUGAAAUGAUGAAGAUAUUCUGAAAAUCUGGAGGUUUUGCCUUGCUAGUAAGAUCAUUAAGAACGUACUUUUGUUUACAGUGUGAGGUAGGGAUCUCAUUUUUAAAAAUAUAGAAAAGAGAGUGCUAAUUAUCUCAGCACCAUUAAUUAAACAGAUCAUCUUUGAUUAAUUUGCAUUGACUUAUCUGUCAUUUGUAUGUAUGGUUCUGUUUCUGAACCUACUAUUUUCUUUCACUAGAUUAUUGAAUGACAUAAUAGACCUUGCAGGUCUAUGCGGUUCUGUUUUGGAACCUGCUUUUUUUGUUCAUUAGAUUAUAGACCAAUCACUGUACCAAUACCACAUUCUUACAAUAUGAAGCUUUUGAUAUCAAAAGGGAAAAUUUUCCCUCCCUAUGCUUCUCCAGAAUUGUCUUGGUCAUUCUUGGCCUCUUCCAAUUCCUCAUGAAUUUUGGAAUCACUUUGUCAGGGUCUAUGAAAGAUCCUAUAUUAUAAUUUGGAGUAAAUUGUUUUGGGGUCAUGGAAUCUUCUCAUCCAUGAACAUGAUGUAUCUCUCCAUUUAUUUAGGCUUUUCUCUGUAUUUCAAUAAGGCUUUAUAAUUUUCACCACAGAUACUAUGAGUUUUUAUUCAAGUUCUAAGAUUGGUUGCUACUAUGAAUGAGACCUUUAAGAAUUUAUAAUAUCUAAUGGGCUAUGGCUUCUUUGUAUAUUGACCUUUUAUUCAACAAUGCUGCUAAGCUCUCUUAUUUGUUCUAUUAAUUCAUUAGAUUUGCUUGAAUUUCUUAGCAGAUAACUACAUCAUCAAUAAAUCAUAUUUUCUUGUUUUUUUUGACCCUUAUAGCUUCUCAUUUGUGUGUGUGUGUGUGUGUUAUUGGCAAGGGGCUUCAGUACAAUGCUGAGUAGAAAUGGUAAAGAUGGUAAAGCUGUCCUUAAUGUUUAAUGAAUUAAGAUUAAGAAUAAUGUUUCUAGAAAUAGGUUAUUGGUAGCAACUCUUUAUUGUAUUUAGGACAUUUCUUCCUUUCCUAGUUUGCUAGGAUUUAAAAAAAAAUAAAUGAAUGGCAAAUUCCUUUGUAUUUUCUAAUAUUAAAUCGUCCUUAUAUUAUGGUGUCAAACUGAUGUGCUUAUGAAGUAUAUAUUUUUAAAACCCAUGCUGAACUGGGUUGAAUAACAUUGUAUUUAAGAAUAAUAUUUUUUAAUGCCUUUUG